This 506-nucleotide ribosomal RNA is filed under the name uncultured organism. RNAcentral describes it as "SSU rRNA". It matches the Rfam family "Bacterial small subunit ribosomal RNA", at positions 18 to 509 of the family's 1533-position model. The record is from RNAcentral.
CCUGGCUCAGGAUGAACGCUAGCUACAGGCUUAACACAUGCAAGUCGAGGGGCAGCACGGGGUAUGGCUUGCCAUUCCCUGGUGGCGACCGGCGCACGGGUGAGUAACGCGUAUCCAACCUGCCCGCAACCGCGGAAUAGCCCGCCGAAAGGCGGAUUAAUGCCGCAUGAGCUCGCGUGGGGGCAUCUGCCCGCGAGCAAAGGUUCACUCCGGUUGCGGAUGGGGAUGCGUCCGAUUAGGCAGCAGGCGGGGCAACGGCCCACCUGGCCUACGAUCGGUAGGGGUUCUGAGAGGAAGGUCCCCCACAUUGGAACUGAGACACGGUCCAAACUCCUACGGGAGGCAGCAGUGAGGAAUAUUGGUCAAUGGGCGAUGGCCUGAACCAGCCAAGUAGCGUGCGGGACGACGGCCCUAUGGGUUGUAAACUGCUUUUAUACAGGGAUAAAGUGGCCCACGUGUGGGUUAUUGCAGGUACUGUAUGAAUAAGGACCGGCUAAUUCCGUGCC